Molecule: ribosomal RNA, 496 nt
Filed under: uncultured bacterium
Lineage: Bacteria
Description: partial 16S ribosomal RNA
Rfam family: Bacterial small subunit ribosomal RNA
Source: RNAcentral
AUGAACGCUGGCCGCGUGCCUAAUUCCUGCAAGUCGAGCGAACAGAUGAGGAGCUUGCUCCUCUGACGUUAGCGGCGGACGGGUGAGUAACACGUGGAUAACCUACCUAUAAGACUGGGAUAACUUCGGGAAACCGGAGCUAAUACCGGAUAAUAUAUUUAACCGCAUGGUUCAAUAGUGAAAGACGGUUUUGCUGUCACUUAUAGAUGGAUCCGCGCCGCAUUAGCUAGUUGGUAAGGUAACGGCUUACCAAGGCAACGAUGCGUAGCCGACCUGAGAGGGUGAUCGGCCACACUGGAACUGAGACACGGUCCAGACUCCUACGGGAGGCAGCAGUAGGGAAUCUUCCGCAAUGGGCGAAAGCCUGACGGAGCAACGCCGCGUGAGUGAUGAAGGUCUUCGGAUCGUAAAACUCUGUUAUUAGGGAAGAACAAAUGUGUAAGUAACUAUGCACGUCUUGACGGUACCUAAUCAGAAAGCCACGGCUAACUACGUG